Molecule: ribosomal RNA, 253 nt
Filed under: uncultured bacterium
Lineage: Bacteria
Description: partial 16S ribosomal RNA
Rfam family: Bacterial small subunit ribosomal RNA
Source: RNAcentral
UACGGGGGGGGCAAGCGUUGUUCGGAAUUACUGGGCGUAAAGGGCUCGUAGGCGGCCAACUAAGUCAGACGUGAAAUCCCUCGGCUUAACCGGGGAACUGCGUCUGAUACUGGAUGGCUUGAGGUUGGGAGAGGGAUGCGGAAUUCCAGGUGUAGCGGUGAAAUGCGUAGAUAUCUGGAGGAACACCGGUGGCGAAGGCGACAUCCUGGACCGGUAUUGACGCUGAGGCGCGAAAGCCAGGGGAGCAAACGGG